Molecule: long non-coding RNA, 748 nt
Filed under: Rattus norvegicus (Norway rat)
Lineage: Eukaryota; Metazoa; Chordata; Mammalia; Rodentia; Muridae
Description: long non-coding RNA NONRATT006286
Source: RNAcentral
CCUGCUUCUGCCUCCUGCGUUGUUUUUUAAGUUUAAAAAAAAUAUGGUGAAACCCCAGUGGGACCAGUUACCCCGGCCUGCUGGUGAGUGUGUUCUUUGUUACUGCAGGACCUGCCUGAUGUGCAAGAGCUCAUCACUCAGGUGCGGUCAGAGAAGUGCUCGCUGCAGGCCGCAGCUAUCCUGGGUGAGCCCCCUCCCUGCUCUUGGCCGAGUCCCCAGACCCCCUCUGCUACUCUGCUUCCACACCCAGCACCACCGUUUUACUGUAGAAAGCAUCUUCUAAGAUUGAUGUUUCCUAGCCCGUGCCUGCUACACUACACUGGGCACUCAGCCAUGCAGAGCAAUGUGGAAAACCCAGUCGAACUUCCUUUUUCCUUAGCAUCUUCCAAACUCUGCAGCUCCUGUGGGUUGGUCACAGUGGAUCCCUGCUGUGUUCCUGCUGCCUAGCUUUACUUGGGAUUUAGAGCCCUGAUCAACACUGAUGAAAAGCCACACCAUGGCAAGAGUGUGCAAAGUCCCCAUUCUUACUAAAUCCCUGUGGAAUUUUCAGAUGCAAAUGAGUCCCAUCAAACUGACACGGCCUCCCAAGUCAAGGACAAUACGCCUCUCGUUGAACGGUUUGAGACCUUUUGCCUGGACCCUUCCCUUGUCACCAAGCAGGCCAGCCUCGUGCACUUCCCCCCCGGAUUCCAGCCCAUCCCCUGCAAGCCUCUGUUCUUUGACCUGGCCCUCAACCACGUGGCCUUCC